UUAGCAAGCGAUGGGCCGUAGAGUAGGCAAAGGGCAUAAUUUUCAGUUAAUUAUCUGAUACAGACUUUCAGUGGGAAAGAAAAAGAAAUGAUUGAUAAGUGUUGGAGAAGAACCUAAAGUUGGGUGGUUAAUCUCCCCAAAUCAAUUAGAGCAAAAUUCAAGUACUAGAGUCUGUGUACAGAGAGCAGAUGAAUUCACCCAAAGUCAGGCCACAUGUGCGGCAGAGAGAAAUGGAGAUGAGUGACGCAAACACAUCUGCGAGAGAGAUUGUGAUGCACCACACGAUCCAAACUGGGCAAGCGGAGUGUGGGAAAAGGGGACCCACAGACAGUGAGUAGUGUCUUCGGGCAGGUACUGAAAUCAAUCAAUUGUAGCCUCAAGAGUCUUGUGUGAAGACAGCUGACGCAAAUUCUGGUGCAUACUCUUCCAAGAAGGGGGGCCCUCUCUACUUUCCUUUAAGAUACUCGUUCAGUACCGUGUCAGGCUGGUGGUCCAUUAGGAGUCCUGGAUUGUACAAAUUAAAACGACGUGCUCCAUGCUGCACCCUUGUGUGAGCCUACAAUCAAAUAAGAUGGCAAUAACUCACAUUCUAGCACCUAAAAUUGACUUGGGAAGAAGGCAAGAGGUAAAUAACAAAUGCAUUGGAAGCUGAAGACUCUGGCUCCAAGGCCAAAGGCACCCUUCUAGGACACGCGUUUCAAAGCAGUGUGCUGCACAGGGCUUGACUCUUCCCCUCCCCACACAAGAUAAUAUAGAACUGAAUGUAAUAAACCCAACUAAUUUUUAAAAUACAUGGUUGACAUUGAAAUUAAGAAAAGGAAAUCCCCAAGUAGAAGAAAUGAGUAAAAUAUUCAAAAUCAAUGUAAUGAGCAAGAGCUAAACCCAGUGGCCUAUGAAGGAACCAGAAUGGGGGAAAACUUCUCGAGGGCUAUGGUUUUAAUGCAUGUUGGGUUCUGGAUCUGAGGGAAUACUGGCGCCUAGAAAAAGGCCUUUUAAUAAAUCUGAGGACCAACCUGUAAACUGGAAACUAGAAUUAUCCUAUUCACUAAGUCCCUGAGACUGCAAAGAAGCCAGUCAGCUAAUCUACAUUGUGCAAGAAAAAAGAAAUAGGAAGCUCGCCUCAGAACCGUGCUGAGGGUUUUACACAAAUUUGCAUGAACCUGUCUGUGUGGAAAACCUGGCCUGAUAAAUUCUUAUAUAAACCGAAACCCCUGGGGCCCUGGCAGAGUCAAACUUGCUCUCACCACCCUGGAAGACCUCAGCAAAGCGGCACCCUUGACUGCUGUGGAAACAACUCCCACAGAAGACAAGUUUCUAGUAAGCUUUAGAAUUAAUCCACAAGAGGAGACAGAGAAUUAGAGGAGAGAGAGAUGCGGUCCAACGAAACAUGACUAAUAAAAAAAUCAAAAAACACCUUAAAUGAAGGAUAUGUACAAGGUUCAAAGAGGAGAAACUAUUAUGCAAGACCAAGACUUGAUAAAAAAGAUCAGAUGUGUUUUAAAAAGAAGAACAGACAUUUUAAAAAUAAAAAAUAUGGUGGUUCACAUUUCAAUAUCUGGCCAAAUGACAUAACUAAUGUCAGGUUAGCUUUGCUAUCGUGAACAAGAAAAAUAUAUAAAAUACAUGAAGCAAUUGUUUUCAGAUAUAAAUAAUAACCAGACCAGAAUUAUGAUCCCUGAGAGUAGACAAAUACAUUUAUUGGCUUCUACAACUGCCCUGCUUUCUCUGUGGAUUUUUGGAUUCCAGCAAGGAGAGAGAAACCCCAGCAGAGCACAGUGGACCCCUAAACUUAAAGAGACAGAAAUCUAGGGUCAGAGUGUGAGACUGCAGGGAUUUUCUGGGAAGGGAACUCAACAGAGAGAGCUCAAGACAGAAAGAGCUCCAGAAGUCUGUCUACAAAUUGCCUGGAAUCACAUCCUGUAAGAGGCAGCAAAGGCUGAUGAUCCCUGGGAGAAGGGAAAUGGGAGAACUUCACCAUGGCAACAGCAAAACAAUGGAGACAGUUGCCAGGCAACAGCCUAGCAAGCCAUUUUUCUCUGAGGGAGAUUGGAAUUUGAUAUAGCCAAGGUGGCUGAUUUACAGAGCAGAGUAUCAGAGAGGAGAGUACUGCUCAAGGACCCGCAGAGGGAUACUUUGCUGAGUACUACCUGCUUGUGAUGUGAAUUAUCUAAGGCCAGAGAAAUAAUCACCAGAAAUACAUGGACAAAAAAUUCUUGCCAUUCAACAAGGCUGGAAAUAAUCUGUGUUCUCACUAGCUAGAGUGGAGAGAUAACAUAACACACAGGGCAGCAGGUAGAAACCCAAAGGGGUGUUGCCUUAGUCCCAAGAUUAAGUUAGCUCUAGACUAAAGGCUGUUCUGAGUUCACUUAAUAAAACUUCAGAACAGAAAAGAAAUUGAAGUCUUCUUUUAGACUUUCCUUCAUUGCUGUAAAGUACGUAUAACAUAAAGAGUAACAUUUCAUCCA
Long non-coding RNA from Chinchilla lanigera (long-tailed chinchilla), 2465 nucleotides. RefSeq lists it as uncharacterized. The record is from RefSeq and is a predicted model, not a curated record. The transcript is spliced from 4 exons. NCBI's taxonomy places the organism in Eukaryota, Metazoa, Chordata, Mammalia, Rodentia, Chinchillidae.